AGAGUUUGAUCAUGGCUCAGGAUGAACGCUAGCUACAGGCUUAACACAUGCAAGUCGAGGGGCAGCAUGGUCUUAGCUUGCUAAGGCCGAUGGCGACCGGCGCACGGGUGAGUAACGCGUAUCCAACCUGCCUUACACUCUUGGACAGCCUUCUGAAAGGGAGAUUAAUACAAGAUGUUAUCAUGAGUAAGCAUUUUCGCAUGAUUAAAGGUUUACCGGUGUAAGAUGGGGAUGCGUUCCAUUAGAUAGUAGGCGGGGUAACGGCCCACCUAGUCUUCGAUGGAUAGGGGUUCUGAGAGGAAGGUCCCCCACAUUGGAACUGAGACACGGUCCAAACUCCUACGGGAGCAGCA
Molecule: ribosomal RNA, 353 nt
Filed under: uncultured bacterium
Lineage: Bacteria
Description: bacterial SSU rRNA
Rfam family: Bacterial small subunit ribosomal RNA
Source: RNAcentral